CCUACGGGAGGCAGCAGUGAGGAAUAUUGGUCAAUGGGCGAGAGCCUGAACCAGCCAAGUCGCGUGAGGGAGUACUGCCCUAUGGGUUGUAAACCUCUUUUGUCGGGGAGCAAAAGCCGGACGUGUCCGGCUGUGAGAGUACCCGAAGAAAAAGCAUCGGCUAAAUCCGUGCCAGCAGCCGCGGUAAUACGGAGGAUGCGAGCGUUAGCCGGAUUGAUUGGGUUUAAAGGGUGCGCAGGCGGAUUUUUAAGUCAGCGGUCAAAUCGUGGGGCUAAACCCCAUCCAGCCGUUGAAACUGGGGAUCUAGAGUGUGCGAGAGGUAUGCGGAAUGCGUGGUGUAGCGGUGAAAUGCAUAGAUAUCACGCAGAACCCUGAUGGCGAAGGCAGGAUACCGGUGCACAACUGACGCUCAGGCACGAAAGCGUGGGUAGCGAACAGGAUUAGAUACCCCAGUAGUC
RNAcentral lists this ribosomal RNA (458 nucleotides) under uncultured bacterium. Its description in RNAcentral is "partial 16S ribosomal RNA". It matches the Rfam family "Bacterial small subunit ribosomal RNA", at positions 338 to 795 of the family's 1533-position model. The record is from RNAcentral.